Molecule: ribosomal RNA, 198 nt
Filed under: uncultured bacterium
Lineage: Bacteria
Description: partial 16S ribosomal RNA
Rfam family: Bacterial small subunit ribosomal RNA
Source: RNAcentral
UAAUACGGAGGGUGCGAGCGUUAAUCGGAAUUACUGGGCGUAAAGCGCACGUAGGCGGUCAGGCAAGUCGGGUGUGAAAGCCCUGGGCUCAACCUGGGAAUUGCAUUCGAAACUAUCUGACUCGAGUAUGGGAGAGGGAAGCGGAAUUUCCGGUGUAGCGGUGAAAUGCGUAGAUAUCGGAAGGAACACCAGUGGCGA